RNAcentral lists this ribosomal RNA (2649 nucleotides) under Triticum aestivum (bread wheat). RNAcentral's name for it is "partial small subunit ribosomal RNA". Lineage: Eukaryota; Viridiplantae; Streptophyta; Magnoliopsida; Poales; Poaceae. The record is from RNAcentral.
AUGGCGACCGCCGUGGCGUCGCAGCCGCGACACUUCACCCUCGGCGGCGAGCCGAGGGCAGCCAUCUGCGCAGCCAGCACAUCAAAGAUUUGCACCCUGGACAAAGUAUACGGAUUCAGAUGGUUAGAAUUUAGGAGACAGAGGAUAGCCUUUCAGAGAACUGGAAGGUGGGUUCACAGUAUUCCAUUGGCUUCUCAAGAUGAUGGCAGUGGUGUGUCUGUUAAUGGAGUACCACAAGUUGAUCCAGCAAGUCAAAUGAAGGAAAUAAGGGUGAAAUUGGAUAAAGCAUUGCAAAAUGAAGACAUAAGCACUGGCCUUGUCCAAUCAAUACAUGAUGCUGCGAGAUCUAUUGAAUUGGCUUUCCUUGAUCACAGCAAAUCAUCAAUAAACUCUUGGUUCCCAAAGAUGUGGCUUGGUGUCGAUAACAAUGCAUGGAUAAAAUCGCUGUCUUACCAGGCUGCUGUUAGCUCGUUACUGCAAGCAGUUAUCGAUGUUUCAUCAAGGGGGAACGGCAGAGAUAGAGAUAUUAAUGUAUUUGUUCAAAGGAGUUUAUCCCGCCUUCUCAGCUCUCUAGAUGGUGUUAUACAGAAUGAAUUGGCUAAAAGGGAACCUUCAUUAUAUCAGUGGUAUUCAUCUAAUCAAAAUCCAUUGGUGGUGAGGACAUUUGUGAACACUUUUGAAAAUGAUCGACGAUUUAAUUCUGCAACAGCAAUAUGCAGCGAAGGCAAGCCAAUGGAUACUAGUGAAAGUGACCUUUCUUUGCUUGUGCUUGGUCUGUUCUGUCUUGCUGCUAUUACGAAGCUAGGAUCAGCAAAAGUUUCUUGUCAGCAGUUUUUCUCCAUGGUCCCUGAUAUUAUUGGCCGAUUCCUGGAUAUGCUUCUUGAAUUCGUUCCUAUAAGUAAAGCGUAUACCUUGACGAAAGAUAUUGGUCUUCAGAGAGAAUUCUUGUGCAAUUUUGGUCCUCGUGCUGCUGUUCCUAAGUUUGCUAAUGAUCAUGGACUUGAGAUAUCAUUUUGGAUUGAUCUGGUUCAGAAACAAUUACUAAGGGCUCUUGAUCGUGAAAAGAUAUGGUCAAGACUGACAACAAGUGAAACUAUUGAGGUUUUGGAAAAGGACCUAGCGAUAUUUGGUUUUUUCAUUGCUUUAGGCAGAAGUACACAAGUAUACCUGUCUUCCAAAAGUCAUACAGAUUCAAAUGAUUCUAUCAAUAGUAUUGUAAGGUACCUUAUUGGUGGGAGCGUCCUAUAUUAUCCACAGUUGUCCUCGAUUAGUUCUUAUCAGUUGUAUGUGGAGGUUGUUUGUGAAGAGCUUGAGUGGCUUCCAUUUUACUAUGAAGAUGUGCCAACGGCAAUAGUUGAUACUCAAGGCAGAGAAGAAAUGCCUAAAAGAGAACUGAUAUCAAGGGUGCUAAAUGUCUGCACUUAUUGGAUGACUAGUUUUAUAAAGUAUAGCUCAUGGCUUGAGAACCCCUUAAAUGUAAAGGCAGCACGAUUCCUAUCUAAGGGGCAUGCCAUGUUGAGCGACUGCAUGACUGAGCUUGACAUAGCAAAAAAUAAUAUGCCUAAAGACCGAAGUUUUCAAGAAACUGGAGUAUUGGUUGAUGCGACUGAGCUAGCUUCCAUUGACAAGUCACUUGAAAGUGUCGAGGAAGCUUUGGUUAAGUUAGAAAAUUUGCUUCAAGAAUUGCAUCUUUCCAGUUCCAACUCUGGUAAGGAGGAUCUAAAGGCUGCAUGUUCUGAUCUAGAAAUGAUCAGAAGACUGAAGAAGGAAGCAGAAUUUCUUGAGGCUUCCUUUCGAGCAAAAGCAGAAUAUCUGGAGGCUGAUACUAUUAGCAGAGUGUUACCUCCUGCUGGCGAGGGAGAACACGGAAAGACGGGCAGCAUGGUUAAUGAGGUUUUAACACCACAAAAACCAGUAAAUAGGAUGGAGAACAAUCGUCGUCCGUUUUGGGACAUUUUUGGUACGACUUCAGGAAGGAAAAUUGUGCCAGCACAAGAAGCUGUGGAUCAGGAUGCUUCUGCUACCAAGGUGGAUCAAAUAGACAUGGAGUCAAAUGACAUCCGCCGCUUCGAACAGUUGAGACGUGAGUUGAUUGAGUUAGAAAGGAGAGUGCAGAAGAGUACAGAUGGUGCUAGAAAAGAGGAGUUCCAGGAAACGGAGGUUCCAGAUGAAACAAUGAGCCCUUCUGAGUCAGCAACCCCUCUGUCAGGGCCUUCUGGUUCAGUAAUCAAGAAAGAAAAUGUUAUUACAAAAUCGGUAGAGAAAGUUAAGGAGAGUACAACGAUUGUGUUGCAAGGGACACAGCUCUUAGCAAUUGACACAGGAGCUGCUAUGGGUUUACUGAAAAGAUCUCUUAUUGGGGAGGAACUAACUCAGAAGGAGAAGCAGGCUCUUCAGAGAACCCUGACAGAUUUGGCAUCUGUUGUUCCAAUAGGAAUACUCAUGCUUCUACCAGUUACUGCUGUUGGGCAUGCUGCUAUUUUGGCUUUCAUCCAGAGAUAUGUGCCUUCCAUGAUCCCAUCCACAUAUGGCCCCGAGAGGUUAGAUCUCCUCAGGCAGCUUGAGGAAGUGAAGGAAAUGAAAUUGCCUGAAGGCAGCAGUGAAGAUAUUUCUGACGCAAUAGGUUUGAGAGGUGACCAAGUGAAAUAA